RNAcentral lists this ribosomal RNA (253 nucleotides) under uncultured bacterium. RNAcentral describes it as "partial 16S ribosomal RNA". It matches the Rfam family "Bacterial small subunit ribosomal RNA", at positions 524 to 776 of the family's 1533-position model. The record is from RNAcentral.
UACGAAGGUCCCAAGCGUUAUCCGGAUUUAUUGGGUUUAAAGGGUGCGUAGGCGGCUUAUUAAGUCAGUGGUGAAAGCCCCAAGCUUAACUUGGGAACUGCCAUUGAUACUGAUGAGCUUGAGUAGAUUUGAGGCGGGCGGAAUGUGUCGUGUAGCGGUGAAAUGCUUAGAUAUGACACAGAACACCAAUUGCGUAGGCAGCUCGCUAAACUCUUACUGACGCUGAGGCACGAAAGCAAGGGGAUCAAACAGG